RNAcentral lists this long non-coding RNA (720 nucleotides) under Phoenix dactylifera (date palm). RNAcentral describes it as "long non-coding RNA (PDAC_LNC011351)". Lineage: Eukaryota; Viridiplantae; Streptophyta; Magnoliopsida; Arecales; Arecaceae. The record is from RNAcentral.
GCUGAGCCAGCUGAACCAGAUUAAACUAUCUUUCUGAUGAUAGGAACCUCACUGCCAGCAUCACUAGAAUUCCCAAGAUUACCACAAGACUCUCAAAAAUAGGUUUUGAAGAGCCAGAGCUUUCUUUGUUUCUUAUACUCAGGAUAGACCUUCUUACACUCUUCAAGUGUUAACAUAAGAUUGUGAAAAAUCUUCAUAUGCUUCUUAGAUAUAGUGUCAUCUUCAAAAUUCUCCACAACAUCAAAAGAACCAAUCAUGUUAACAACAAUCCUCUUAUCCCAACAAAAUAAAGGAUUAUAAGAGAGCUUAAUCAAGACUUUGAACUUAUAUUCAUGUUCAACACCUUUGUCCUCGAUCUUCAGAAGCUGAAUGGAAGAGUCUGCUUCACCACCAGAAUUAGACCUCUUUUUAGUGUCUCUAAGGAAACCAGGCAACAAUCACACCAACUUGACCUUUUACAUCCCAUUUCAUAGAUUUAUCCACAUAGAAAGCUAAAGAAGUAGCAAUCUUCUUCUCAUUAGUACUACUCGAAGUGAAGCUAAUAGCAAUAUCACAUACCUCUUUAGAAUCUGCCGCUCAAUUCUUCAAAAUUGGUAUAUAUGGAAAUAGAAUUAGAAGUAUAUCUCACACAACCUUCAUUCUUCUUCCCAAGCACCUUUCAUGUGUUGUUUCCCGUUGUCUGAUUCCUGUUUACCUAAAAAUAUGCUAAACAGAUCGUUG